Molecule: ribosomal RNA, 540 nt
Filed under: Psilocybe thaiduplicatocystidiata
Lineage: Eukaryota; Fungi; Basidiomycota; Agaricomycetes; Agaricales; Agrocybaceae
Description: eukaryotic LSU rRNA
Rfam family: Eukaryotic large subunit ribosomal RNA
Source: RNAcentral
UUCCCCUAGUAACUGCGAGUGAAGCGGGAAAAGCUCAAAUUUAAAAUCUGGCGGUCUCUGGCCGUCCGAGUUGUAAUCUAGAGAAGUGUUAUCCGCGCUGGACCGUGUACAAGUCUCCUGGAAUGGAGCGUCAUAGAGGGUGAGAAUCCCGUCUUUGACACGGACUGCCAGGGCUUUGUGAUGCGCUCUCAAAGAGUCGAGUUGUUUGGGAAUGCAGCUCAAAAUGGGUGGUAAAUUCCAUCUAAAGCUAAAUAUUGGCGAGAGACCGAUAGCGAACAAGUACCGUGAGGGAAAGAUGAAAAGAACUUUGGAAAGAGAGUUAAACAGUACGUGAAAUUGCUGAAAGGGAAACGCUUGAAGUCAGUCGCGUUGGCCGGGAAUCAACCUUGCUUUUGCUGGGCGUAUUUUCUGGUCGACGGGUCAACAUCAAUUUUGACCGUUGGAUAAAGUCUGAGGGAAUGUGGCUUCUUCGGGAGUGUUAUAGCCCUUGGUCGCAUACAACGGUUGGGAUUGAGGAACUCAGCACGCCGCAAGGCCGGG